CAAGGUUAAAACUCAAAUGAAUUGACGGGGGCCCGCACAAGCGGUGGAGCAUGUGGUUUAAUUCGAUGCAACGCGAAGAACCUUACCUGGUCUUGACAUCCACGGAAGUUUUCAGAGAUGAGAAUGUGCCUUCGGGAACCGUGAGACAGGUGCUGCAUGGCUGUCGUCAGCUCGUGUUGUGAAAUGUUGGGUUAAGUCCCGCAACGAGCGCAACCCUUAUCCUUUGUUGCCAGCGGUCCGGCCGGGAACUCAAAGGAGACUGCCAGUGAUAAACUGGAGGAAGGUGGGGAUGACGUCAAGUCAUCAUGGCCCUUACGACCAGGGCUACACACGUGCUACAAU
Molecule: ribosomal RNA, 342 nt
Filed under: Escherichia coli
Lineage: Bacteria; Pseudomonadati; Pseudomonadota; Gammaproteobacteria; Enterobacterales; Enterobacteriaceae
Description: bacterial SSU rRNA
Rfam family: Bacterial small subunit ribosomal RNA
Source: RNAcentral